CAGUCGCCGCGGUAACACGUAGGUGGCAAGCGUUAUCCGGAAUUAUUGGGCGUAAAGCGCGCGUAGGUGGUUUUUUAAGUCUGAUGUGAAAGCCCACGGCUCAACCGUGGAGGGUCAUUGGAAACUGGAAAACUUGAGUGCAGGAGAGGAAAGUGGAAUUCCAUGUGUAGCGGUGAAAUGCGCAGAGAUAUGGAGGAACACCAAUGGCGAAGGCAGCUUCUUGGUCCAUUCCUGACGUUCAUACACGAAAGCGUGGGGAGCAAACAGGAUUAGAUACCCCCGUAGUCCCUGUCUCUUAUAA
This 301-nucleotide ribosomal RNA is filed under the name uncultured bacterium. RNAcentral describes it as "partial 16S ribosomal RNA". It matches the Rfam family "Bacterial small subunit ribosomal RNA", at positions 509 to 809 of the family's 1533-position model. The record is from RNAcentral.